UCGAAGGUAAGCAUAAUCAGUAGUCUUUUAAUUGAAGGCUGGUAUGAAUGGUUGGAUGAAAUAUUAACUGUUUCAUUUAAAAUUUUUAUAGAAUUUUAUUUUUUAGUUAAAAAGCUAAAAUUUUAUUAAAAGACGAGAAGACCCUAUAAAUCUUUAUAUUUUAUUUUUAUUAGUUAUUUGGAUAUUUUUAAUUAUUAAAAAUUAAAAUAUUUUAUUGGGGUGAUAUUAAAAUUUAAUAAACUUUUAAUUAAUAAUAACAUAAAUUUAUGAAUUUUUGAUCCAUUAUUAAUGAUUAAAAAUUUAAGUUACUUUAGGGAUAACAGCGUAAUUUUUUUGGAGAGUUCAUAUCGAUAAAAAAGAUUGCGACCUCGAUGUUGGAUUAA
This 383-nucleotide ribosomal RNA is filed under the name Anthomyza gibbiger. Its description in RNAcentral is "partial 16S large subunit ribosomal RNA". Lineage: Eukaryota; Metazoa; Arthropoda; Insecta; Diptera; Anthomyzidae. The record is from RNAcentral.